Molecule: non-coding RNA, 71 nt
Organism: Dallia pectoralis (Alaska blackfish)
Lineage: Eukaryota; Metazoa; Chordata; Actinopteri; Esociformes; Umbridae
Source: the annotation of a GenBank genome assembly
GGCUUCAUAGCUCAGUGGUAGAGCAACCGGCUGUUAACCGGUUGGUCGUAGGUUCAAUCCUGCUGAAGCCG